RNA transcript from Papaver somniferum (opium poppy), 768 nucleotides. RefSeq lists it as uncharacterized. The transcript has 4 exons. The record is from RefSeq and is a predicted model, not a curated record. NCBI's taxonomy places the organism in Eukaryota, Viridiplantae, Streptophyta, Magnoliopsida, Ranunculales, Papaveraceae.
UUCCCCUUAAACCCUGCGACUGAUAUCGGGAUCCACCGUGUAGAGCAGAAAACAAAAGACAUUUUCAGAGAAUCAGAGAACUCGAAACCAAUUUCUCACUCAAAGAUGGCUUGGCGCGGAUCUGCAUCAAGAUCUUUCUUCUCCGCUGCAAGAGCUAUGCGUUCAACAGCAGCACCACUUCCUCGUAUCCGUCCAACACCAGUAAUGGCUCCUCCUCGUAUCCAAGCACCUCGUUUCAAUUUUGCCAACCCAAGGACUUUGGGUGAAAUAGGGUGUACUCGGUCACUACUAACGUUGCAUAGCAUUGUUGCCGCUCCUCGUCUCACAUCUCACCUCGCAGUCAACGUGCGAGCGUGCUGUGAGCUCUCACAGGGGAACGGCAAGGGUAGGUGACGCAGAGAGAGAGAGAGUGAAAAAGCCGCGAGAUGAUGAUUACUAAAACUUGUACUUGACAGGAUUGUGGUAUCUUCUGCACCAGGAGUGCUCUGGUAUCUUGAGAUCUAUGACAGUCAGGUUAAUCUCGUGGAAGCUCUUUUCGCUUUCGAGUAAGAUAAAAACAAAUAAGAAUCUUGUCUUUUUAUGUCGACAUAGAUAAGAAACUCCAUUACCUGCUAAAUUUUUAAAGAGGCAUUUAGUUCAAUUCAAUUUAUCUGGUGUAACUAUCUUUUGAAUUUGAGUUGUGAUUUUAGAAAUCCAUGUUAUCGUGUUUAGUAAAUCCUUGUGUUCUAUCUCUUUCUUUUAAUCCAUUUUUCUGUUUCUUGAUCCUUC